RNAcentral lists this ribosomal RNA (253 nucleotides) under uncultured bacterium. Its description in RNAcentral is "partial 16S ribosomal RNA". It matches the Rfam family "Bacterial small subunit ribosomal RNA", at positions 524 to 776 of the family's 1533-position model. The record is from RNAcentral.
UACGAAGGGGGCUAGCGUUGCUCGGAAUCACUGGGCGUAAAGGGUGCGUAGGCGGGUCUUUAAGUCAGGGGUGAAAUCCUGGAGCUCAACUCCAGAACUGCCUUUGAUACUGAAGAUCUUGAGUUCGGGAGAGGUGAGUGGAACUGCGAGUGUAGAGGUGAAAUUCGUAGAUAUUCGCAAGAACACCAGUGGCGAAGGCGGCUCACUGGCCCGAUACUGACGCUGAGGCACGAAAGCGUGGGGAGCAAAACAG